Anguilla anguilla (European eel) is the source of this 1047-nucleotide long non-coding RNA. RefSeq lists it as uncharacterized. The transcript has 2 exons. The record is from RefSeq and is a predicted model, not a curated record. Lineage: Eukaryota; Metazoa; Chordata; Actinopteri; Anguilliformes; Anguillidae.
CAGCCGUAGGUGACCUUUACAUUUUGUUUCUUGGUCUAUCAUAACUAAGCAAAGCUUUGAUCCAGAGUGAAUUUUAAGAGAAAAAUGUGACUAAGGUGGAAUAAAUUUCAGGGGCGCUGGUGGACCUCUUCAAUGACUACAAGUACAUGUACUACACAUGUGGGGCUGUAAUGCUGGCUGCUGGGCUGUUCCUCUUCAUUAUGAACUUCUACAACUACAGGCUGCUGGAGCAGGAGAAGAAGCAGCAGGAGAUGGACGUGGAACUGUCAUCAGCCGAGAAGGCAAGCAUGAGAGAAGAAGAGGCUAAAGAAAAAGAGGACCCCGCCCAGCAGGAGGAGUAACUGCAGGCCAGCCACGCCUGACCAGAGAGGCUUCACCCCAGAGGCCCAGCGUGACAACACAGAUUACCCAGCGAGAGUUCACCUCUGUCUCCCACAAACGGCUCUGUGUGACCUCUGCAGGAACAAAUGUAAUUACUGUACCACUCUACAAUAACCCAAUUUAACUGAGCUUGCUCUCUCUGUCUCAUUCUCCAUCUCUCUCUCUCCCCCUCAAAUUUUUUCCUCUGUAUGUUGCACAGUAUUUAUUUUUACUUGAAUUUAUGGAUCAGUUUGACUCUACAUCAGGAUGAGAAGAAACAGACUACAUAUGGAAGAAUAUAAAUUUUUUUUUUCUUUUGUUUGGCUCUGAUAUGAGCUUUGUUUAAUGGAGAACAUGUCGUCUUCAUGGUAUUUUACAAACAACAGUACAGCGAAUCAUAGUUAAUUCUCAGUAGCAAUCUAUAGCUGGCAUGAAUCAGAUUUUUAUACAGUAUGUUUUUACUUUUUAAAUCAGUAAACUAAUACAAUUUAUAUUAAGGUAGAAGUCUGUAAAUGUAUACUGUGAAGGAUGAGAGACAUACCGCAUUACCUCAUUACCAUUUGCUGCUAAUGAAAAUAAUAUUCAGAUUUAUUCGAGUGUUGUCUUUUCGUGUCUAAUCAUUCGCUUCGAUUUAAAACUGCAGCAGAACAGUUUGCUGUGUAAUAAACAACAAAUAACAUUUCCUCA